RNAcentral lists this small RNA (71 nucleotides) under Kluyvera ascorbata. RNAcentral describes it as "Enterobacterial sRNA STnc370". It matches the Rfam family "Enterobacterial sRNA STnc370". The record is from RNAcentral. Lineage: Bacteria; Pseudomonadati; Pseudomonadota; Gammaproteobacteria; Enterobacterales; Enterobacteriaceae.
AAUUAUUAAUCGUUCCCCUAAUCAUAUUUAAGGUACAAAAAAACCUGCCCGAGAGCAGGUUUUUAUUUAUU